GCCUGGCUGGCUCACCCAGUAGAGCAUGUCACUCUUGAUCUCAGGGUUGUGAGUUCAAGCCCCACGUUGGGCG
RNAcentral lists this transfer RNA (73 nucleotides) under Ursus americanus (American black bear). It matches the Rfam family "tRNA". From Rfam's summary of the family: Transfer RNA (tRNA) molecules are approximately 80 nucleotides in length. Their secondary structure includes four short double-helical elements and three loops (D, anti-codon, and T loops). RNAcentral also lists the same sequence under 1 other name. The record is from Rfam by way of RNAcentral. Lineage: Eukaryota; Metazoa; Chordata; Mammalia; Carnivora; Ursidae.